This 376-nucleotide ribosomal RNA is filed under the name uncultured bacterium. RNAcentral describes it as "bacterial SSU rRNA". It matches the Rfam family "Bacterial small subunit ribosomal RNA", at positions 521 to 895 of the family's 1533-position model. The record is from RNAcentral.
UAAUACGUAGGGUGCGAGCGUUAAUCGGAAUUACUGGGCGUAAAGUGUGCGCAGGCGGCAGAGCAAGUCGAGUGUGAAAGCCCCGGGCUUAACUUGGGAAUUGCGCUCGAAACUACUUUGCUGGAGUGUGGCAGAGGAAGGUGGAAUUCCACGUGUAGCGGUGAAAUGCGUAGAGAUGUGGAGGAACACCAAUGGCGAAGGCAGCCUUCUGGGCCAACACUGACGCUCAUGCACGAAAGCGUGGGGAGCAAACAGGAUUAGAUACCCUGGUAGUCCACGCCCUAAACGAUGACGACUAGUUGUUGGAGGAGUUAAAUCCUUUAGUAACGCAGCUAACGCGCGAAGUCGUCCGCCUGGGGAGUACGGUCGCAAGAUU